RNAcentral lists this unclassified non-coding RNA (239 nucleotides) under Ascomycota sp. Its description in RNAcentral is "partial contains small subunit ribosomal RNA, internal transcribed spacer 1, and 5.8S ribosomal RNA". The record is from RNAcentral. RNAcentral also lists the same sequence under 2 other names. Lineage: Eukaryota; Fungi; Ascomycota.
UCUCCGUUGGUGAACCAGCGGAGGGAUCAUUACCGAGUCUUCGCACUCAAAUAACCCUUCUGUGGACCUAAAUAAAACCGUUGCCUCGGCGGGCGGCCCCACCUGUGGGCCGGACAGCCCGGUCGCCUCCAGGCGCCGGCGCCAGCCGCUGGCCCAAAAUAAAAACUCUAGUAACCUUUACCUUCUGAGUUUUAACGCAAAUAAAGUCAAAACUUUCAACAACGGAUCUCUUGGCUCUG